GACGAACGUUGGCGGCGUGCCUAAUACAUGCAAGUCAAAUGAAGCAGUGUAGCACUUCCUCUUCUUAGGUGGGUCACGGGCGGGUAACUCGUACGUAGUUUGCCUUCCUGUUUGGCAGAACUCCGGAAAAGAGAGGCUAGUAACUACUGCAUCACCGUGUCUGCCACGUGACAUUUGUUAAAACUAUGGCGUUUGACGAUGAGCCUGUGGCUGAUUAGUUAGUUGGCGGGUUGACGGCCCACCAAGGCAACUAUCAGUCGCUGGUCUGAGAGGAUGAUCAGCCACACUGGAACUGAGACACGGUCCAGACUCCUACGAGAAGCAGCAGUAAGGAAUAUUGCGCAAUGGGGGAAAUCCUGAAGCAGCAACGCCGAGAGAGGGACGGAGGGCUUUAGCUUGUAAACCUCUGUAGUGAGAGAAAGAAAUCCCAAUCUUCGGGACAUGAUGGUAUCUCAAAAGUAAGCCCCGGCUAACUACGUG
RNAcentral lists this ribosomal RNA (480 nucleotides) under uncultured bacterium. RNAcentral's name for it is "partial 16S ribosomal RNA". It matches the Rfam family "Bacterial small subunit ribosomal RNA", at positions 28 to 507 of the family's 1533-position model. The record is from RNAcentral.